This 449-nucleotide ribosomal RNA is filed under the name uncultured bacterium. Its description in RNAcentral is "partial 16S ribosomal RNA". It matches the Rfam family "Bacterial small subunit ribosomal RNA", at positions 338 to 795 of the family's 1533-position model. The record is from RNAcentral.
CCUACGGGGGGCUGCAGUGGGGAAUUUUGGACAAUGGGCGCAAGCCUGAUCCAGCCAUUCCGCGUGAGUGAAGAAGGCCUUCGGGUUGUAAAGCUCUUUCGCAAGGGAAGAAAACUUAUCCUCUAACAUAGGAUGAGGUUGACGGUACCUUGAUAAGAAGCACCGGCUAACUACGUGCCAGCAGCCGCGGUAAUACGUAGGGUGCGAGCGUUCGUCGGACGUGAUGGGCGUAUUGUGUAAGUAGGAUGUGAAAUCCCCGAGCGCAACUUGGGAACUGCGUUUGAAACUACAAGACUAGAAUAGGUCAGAGGCGGGUAGAAUUCCACGUGUAGCAGUGAAAUGCGUAGAGAUGUGGAGGAAUAUCAAUGGCGAAGGCAGCCCCCUGGGAUCAUAUUGACGCUCAUGCACGAAAGCGUGGGGAGCAAACAGGAUUAGAUACCCCUGUAGUC